UUUUAGAUGUAAAUAUUCUGGAAUUUUCCAAAUGAAUUUUAGCCAAACUUUUAGUAUUUUAAGCUGUUUUAUUGUGAUUUGACGUGGAAUAUACAGUUGAUGCCGUCGGUUUUUUUAAAGUUUUUACAUCUGAAUGUCUUAUUUAUAGUAUAGAGGCCUGAUGAAGCAAACGAGAGUUUGCGAAACGUUGCUGAAUAUACUUUAAGAUCUUU
Coccinella septempunctata (seven-spotted ladybird) is the source of this 212-nucleotide long non-coding RNA. RefSeq lists it as uncharacterized. The transcript is spliced from 2 exons. NCBI's taxonomy places the organism in Eukaryota, Metazoa, Arthropoda, Insecta, Coleoptera, Coccinellidae. The record is from RefSeq and is a predicted model, not a curated record.